RNAcentral lists this ribosomal RNA (492 nucleotides) under uncultured bacterium. RNAcentral describes it as "partial 16S ribosomal RNA". It matches the Rfam family "Bacterial small subunit ribosomal RNA", at positions 29 to 507 of the family's 1533-position model. The record is from RNAcentral.
AGUGAACGCUGGCGGUAGGCCUAACACAUGCAAGUCGAACGGCAGCACAGUAAGAGCUUGCUCUUACGGGUGGCGAGUGGCGGACGGGUGAGGAAUACAUCGGAAUCUACUUUUUCGUGGGGGAUAACGUAGGGAAACUUACGCUAAUACCGCAUACGACCUACGGGUGAAAGCAGGGGAUCUUCGGACCUUGCGCGAUUGAAUGAGCCGAUGUGGGAUUAGUUAGUUGGCGGGGUAAAGGCCCACCAAGGCGACGAUCCGUAGCUGGUCUGAGAGGAUGAUCAGCCACACUGGAACUGAGACACGGUCCAGACUCCUACGGGAGGCAGCAGUGGGGAAUAUUGGACAAUGGGCGCAAGCUUGAUCCAGCCAUACCGCGUGGGUGAAGAAGGCCUUCGGGUUGUAAAGCCCUUUUGUUGGGAAAGAAAAGCAGCAGGUUAAUACCCCGCUGUUCUGACGGUACCCAAAGAAUAAGCACCGGCUAACUUCGUG